Molecule: ribosomal RNA, 1245 nt
Filed under: uncultured bacterium
Lineage: Bacteria
Description: partial 16S ribosomal RNA
Rfam family: Bacterial small subunit ribosomal RNA
Source: RNAcentral
AGAGUUUGAUCCUGGCUCAGGAUAAACGCUGGCGGCGUGCUUUAUGCAUGCAAGUCGAACGGUUCCGAUUUAUCGGAACAGUGGCAGACGGGUGAGUAACACGUAAGUAACCUGCCCCCAAGUAGGGAAUAACUCUGAGAAAUUGGAGCUAAUACCUUAUGUGUUGGUGAGGGUAAGGCCUCAUCAAUAAAGUCUUAGGAUGCUUGGGGAGGGGCUUGCGUCCGAUUAGCUAGUUGGUAGGGUAAUGGUCUACCAAGGCGAUGAUCGGUAGCUGGUUUGAGAGGACGGCCAGCCACACUGGGACUGAGACACGGCCCAGACUCCUACGGGAGGCAGCAGCAAGGAAUAUUGUGCAAUGGGCGAAAGCCUGACACAGCGACGCCGCGUGAGGGAUGAAGGCCUUCGGGUUGUAAACCUCUUUUCUCAGGGAAGAAAAAUGACGGUACCUGAGGAAUAAGUCUUGGCUAACUACGUGCCAGCAGCCGCGGUAAUACGUAGGAGGCGAGCGUUAUUCGGAUUUAUUGGGCGUAAAGAGGGCGUAGGCGGCUUUUCAAGUCGGAUGUAAAAUCUCCCGGCUCAACUGGGAGGCACCAUGCGAUACUGUUAGGCUAGAGGACAGCAGAGGGAGGUGGAAUUCCCGGUGUAGUGGUGAAAUGCGUAGAUAUCGGGAGGAACACCAGUGGCGAAGGCGGCCUCCUGGGCUGUUUCUGACGCUGUGGCCCGUAAGCGUGGGGAGCAAACAGGAUUAGAUACCCUGGUAGUCCACGCCGUAAACGAUGGACACUAGGUAUGGGGAGUAUCGACCCUCUCUGUGCCGAAGCUAACGCUUUAAGUGUCCCGCCUGGGGAUUACGGCCGCAGGCUAAACUCAAAGGAAUUGACCGGGGCCCGCACAGCAGCGAAGCGUGUGCUUAAUUCGAUGCACGCGAAGAACCUUACCAGGCUUGACAUGUCGGAGUAGCGACCGAAAGGAAGCGACCUGUUAAAUCAGAGCCGUCACAGUGCUGCAUGCCUGUCGUCAGCUCGUGCCGUGAGGUGUUGGUUAGUCCCGUACCGAGCGCCACCCCUCGUUGCCAGUUAUUUUCUUUGGCCGGACUGCCCCGCGUAACGGGAGAAGGUGGGAUGAGCUCAGUCACGCACCGCCCCCUUAUGCCUGCUCACACACCCCCUUAAAUGGGUGUCAAUUGUAACAGGAGGAUCCGGACUAUUCCUUAAACAUCUAUACUCGGAAUUGGUAAGCUGAAUU